CUGAAUAACUGUCCUGCUUUUUGGCCCCACAGCACUGAAUGAAGAAGUCAGCCACUUCGAGAAGCGAAAGCUAUUUAUUUUGGUAUCCACGGUGAUGACCUGGGCACGCUCCAAACUCCUGGACCCCGAUGAUUCUGAGAUCCCGUUUACUGAGGAGGAUUAUCGAAGAAGAAAGCAACAUCCUAAUUUUCUGGACCACAUCAAUGCCGAAAAAAUGGUUCUCAAAUUUGGAAAAAAUGU
Long non-coding RNA from Herpailurus yagouaroundi (jaguarundi), 240 nucleotides. RefSeq lists it as uncharacterized. NCBI's taxonomy places the organism in Eukaryota, Metazoa, Chordata, Mammalia, Carnivora, Felidae. The record is from RefSeq and is a predicted model, not a curated record. The transcript is spliced from 2 exons.